RNAcentral lists this ribosomal RNA (361 nucleotides) under uncultured bacterium. RNAcentral's name for it is "bacterial SSU rRNA". It matches the Rfam family "Bacterial small subunit ribosomal RNA", at positions 28 to 389 of the family's 1533-position model. The record is from RNAcentral.
GACGAACGCUGGCGGCGUGCUUAACACAUGCAAGUCGAGCGGUAAGGCCCUUUCGGGGGUACACGAGCGGCGAACGGGUGAGUAACACGUGGGUGACCUGCCCUCAGCUCUGGGAUAAGCCUCGGGAAACCGGGUCUAAUACCGGAUAUGACUCCAUGACGCAUGUUGUGGGGUGGAAAAGCCUUGUGCGGCUGAGGAUGGGCCCGCGGCCUAUCAGCUUGUUGGUGGGGUGAUGGCCUACCAAGGCGACGACGGUAGCCGGCCUGAGAGGGCGACCGGCCACACUGGGACUGAGACACGGCCCAGACUCCUACGGGAGGCAGCAGUGGGGAAUCUUGCGCAAUGGGCGAAAGCCUGACGC